GAGAGUAUAGCUCAGUGGUAGAACACAUGCUUAGCAUGCAUGAGGUCCUGGGUUCAAAUCCCCAGUACUUCCA
This 73-nucleotide transfer RNA is filed under the name Camelus bactrianus (Bactrian camel). It matches the Rfam family "tRNA". From Rfam's summary of the family: Transfer RNA (tRNA) molecules are approximately 80 nucleotides in length. Their secondary structure includes four short double-helical elements and three loops (D, anti-codon, and T loops). RNAcentral also lists the same sequence under 2 other names. Lineage: Eukaryota; Metazoa; Chordata; Mammalia; Artiodactyla; Camelidae. The record is from Rfam by way of RNAcentral.